AUGGAGGCGGCCCCAACGCCGGCGGCAGCGGAGACGCAGCACCGCCACGGCGGAUGCUUGUCUGCCAGGACGUUCAUGCCGCCCGGGCCGGUGGCGCGAUGCUCCGGUGGCUCCUCUCAGGCAGCCGGAUCUCCCGAUGAGGCGUCAUGUGGAUCACCAAGAUGGAUAGGGAAAAGUCUCUCUUGUGUAUGCAUCAAAAGGAAAGGGGCAUAUGAGCGAAUAUGCAUGAACCUUACACCGGUGCAGGAACAGAGGCUUCAGAGGUUGAGGCACCGCAUGAAGGUUUAUUUUGAUCACUCAAGGCGAGAUCAUCAGGAAGCCUUGAGAGCUCUUUGGUAUGCAACAUACCCUGAUCAAGAACUUGAAGGUUUGGUCUCUGAACAGUGGAAGGACAUGGGCUGGCAAGGAAGAGAUCCAUCAACUGACUUCAGAGGCGCAGGAUUCAUAUCUCUAGAGAAUCUUCUAUUCUUUGCAAAGACAUUCUCUGCAUCAUUUCAGAGGCUACUACAGAAACAAAGCGGCAAUCAAGCCACUUGGGAGUACCCGUUUGCAGUUGCUGGUGUAAAUAUCACAUUCAUGAUCAUGCAGAUGUUGGAUCUCCAGUCCAUGAAAUCAAUUGCAGCUAAACCGAGAACGUUCGUCAAAGCUGUUUUUGUCCAAAUGCUUUCAGAGGAUGAAUGGGCAUUUGAUCUGCUCUACUGUGUUGCUUUCCUUGUGAUGGACAAGCAGUGGGUAGAGAAGAACGCUUCUUACAUGGACUUCAAUGAGAUACUGAAGUCAACUCGAGCGCAGCUGCAGAAGGAGCUUCUGCUGGAGGAUGUGAUGAGGAUUGAAGAUAUGCCAUCAUACAGACUGCUUUGCUAG
This 864-nucleotide ribosomal RNA is filed under the name Triticum aestivum (bread wheat). RNAcentral's name for it is "partial small subunit ribosomal RNA". Lineage: Eukaryota; Viridiplantae; Streptophyta; Magnoliopsida; Poales; Poaceae. The record is from RNAcentral.